This 277-nucleotide ribosomal RNA is filed under the name uncultured prokaryote. RNAcentral describes it as "partial 16S ribosomal RNA". It matches the Rfam family "Bacterial small subunit ribosomal RNA", at positions 524 to 800 of the family's 1533-position model. The record is from RNAcentral.
UACGUAGGUGGCAAGCGUUAUCCGGAAUUAUUGGGCGUAAAGCGCGCGUAGGCGGUCUUUUAAGUCUGAUGUGAAAGCCCACGGCUCAACCGUGGAGGGUCAUUGGAAACUGGGGGACUUGAGUGCAGAAGAGGAAAGUGGAAUUCCAAGUGUAGCGGUGAAAUGCGUAGAUAUCGGGAGGAACACCGGUGGCGAAGGCGGCUUUCUGGCCAGUUACUGACGCUCAUGCGCGAAAGCUGGGGUAGCGAACCGGAUUAGAUACCCUGGUAGUCCCUGA